GACCGAGUACGCUGGCGGCGUGCCUAGUACAUGCAUAGUCGUAGACGACAGGUAGACCGUAAGGAACUCUUCGGAGGGAAGGCAGUGGAAUGAGCGGCGGACGGGUGAGUAACACGUAAGGAACCUGCCUCAAGGAUUGGGAUAACUCCGAGAAAUCGGAGCUAAUACCGGAUAGUUCAACGGACCGCAUGGUCCGCUGAUGAAAGGCGCUUCGGCGUCACCUUGAGAUGGCCUUGCGGUGCAUUAGCUAGUUGGUGGGGUAACGGCCCACCAAGGCGACGAUGCAUAGCCGACCUGAGAGGGUGAUCGGCCACACUGGGACUGAGACACGGCCCAGACUCCUACGGGAGGCAGCAGUAGGGAUCUUCCACAAUGGACGAAAGUCUGAUGGAGCAACGCCGCGUGAGUGAUGAAGGUUUUCGGAUCGUAAAACUCUGUUGUAAGGGAAGAACACGUACGAGAGGGAAUGCUCGUACCUUGACGGUACCUUACGAGAAAGCCACGGCUAACUACGUGCCAGCAGCCGCGGUAAUACGUAGGUGGCAAGCGUUGUCCGGAAUUAUUGGGCGUAAAGCGCGCGCAGGCGGCCUUUUAAGUCUGAUGUGAAAGCCCCCGGCUCAACCGGGGAGGGCCAUUGGAAACUGGAAAGGCUUGAGUACAGAAGAGAAGAGUGAAUUCCACGUGUAGCGGUGAAAUGCGUAGAGAUGUGGAGGAACACCAGUGCGAAGGCGACUCUUUGGUCUGUAACUGACGCUGAAGGCGCAAAGCGUGGGGAGCAAACAGAAU
This 786-nucleotide ribosomal RNA is filed under the name Exiguobacterium sp. B1N2b. Its description in RNAcentral is "bacterial SSU rRNA". It matches the Rfam family "Bacterial small subunit ribosomal RNA", at positions 26 to 778 of the family's 1533-position model. The record is from RNAcentral. Lineage: Bacteria; Bacillati; Bacillota; Bacilli; Caryophanales.